UUCCGGGUGAUCCUGCCGGACCCGACUGCUAUCGGAUUGAGAUUCAGGCCAUGCGAGUCGAACGCCUUCCUGUUGCGGGAGGCGUGGCGUACGGCUCAGUAACACGUAGUCAACCUGGCCUAGAGACAUGAAUAACCCCGGGUAACUGGGAUUAAUACAUGAUAGAUCAUCUCAUCUGGAAGGAGACAUGGUUUAAAGGGGUGCGCGAGCUUCUUUUGGUCAUCCGCUCUAGGAUGGGACUGCGGCCGAUCAGGCUGUUGCGGGGUAAUAGCCCACCAAACCUGUAACCAUACGGGCCUUGAGAGAGGGGGCCCGCCUAAUGGACACUGAGAGAAGGGUCCAGGUCCUACAGGGCGCAGCAGGCGCGAAAACCUUCGCAUGCGCGAAAGCGUGACGAGGUUAAUCCGAGUGGUUCCCGCUGAGGGAAUCUUUUGUUGCUCUAAAAUGGCCAGUGAAUAAGGGGAGGGCCCGACUGGUGUCAGCCGCCGCGGUAAUACCAGCUCCUCGAUGGAUCCGGGGCGAUUAUUGGGCCUAGGAGCAUCCGUAGCCGGCUUCUGUAGGUCUUAAACUGUUAAAUCCAACGGUCAAACCGUUGGCCUGCCGAAGAUACCGCAGGACUAGGAGGCGGGAGAGGUGGA
This 638-nucleotide ribosomal RNA is filed under the name uncultured crenarchaeote. RNAcentral's name for it is "bacterial SSU rRNA". It matches the Rfam family "Archaeal small subunit ribosomal RNA", at positions 1 to 612 of the family's 1478-position model. The record is from RNAcentral. Lineage: Archaea; Thermoproteati; Thermoproteota.